RNAcentral lists this ribosomal RNA (482 nucleotides) under uncultured bacterium. RNAcentral describes it as "partial 16S ribosomal RNA". It matches the Rfam family "Bacterial small subunit ribosomal RNA", at positions 28 to 523 of the family's 1533-position model. The record is from RNAcentral.
AGUGAACGUUGGCGGCGUGGAUUAGGCAUGCAAGUCGAGCGAGAACCGUAGCAAUACGGGGACAGCGGCGAAAGGGACAGUAAUGUGUAGGUACCUACCUCCGGGUUCGGGAUAGCUGCGGGAAACUGGAGGUAAUACAGACUAACGACUCCGGACCCAAGGUGUGAUUCCACCUGGAGAAGGGCCUGCAUCCUAUUAGCUUGUUGGCGGGGUAACGGCCGACCAAGGCGACGAUGGGUAGCGGGUGUGAGAGCACGACCCGCGUCUUUGGCACUGAGACACUGCCCAGACACCUACGGGUGGCUGCAGUCGUGAAUCUUCGGCAAUGGGCGCAAGCCUGACCGAGCGACGCCGCGUGCGGGAUGAAGGCCUUCGGGUUGUAAACCGCUGUCGUAGAGGAGGAAAUGCAGGGGGGUUCUCCCCUCUGUUUGACCUAUUCUAGGAGGAAGUACGGGCUAAGUUCGUGCCAGCCGCCGCCGUAA